UCAUCCGUCCGCUCUACUGCGCGGUUGUUACCGGACUGAGGAACUCGGCUAGCCGAUUUUAGAUUGGUUGUUUAUUGCACGCAAUGCGAGAUCUGUAGGAACGUUGGUAAACAGUGAAAUUACAUCUUAAGAUAUUAACGUGUAAUUGUCCGGGAUAAUCAAUGUUUUAAUUUUAUCAACUAAUAAAAAGCUAUCCUUAACUCUCGAGAUGGGAGGUGUGAUAUUGGUGGGACAUCCUCUUUGUGAAUUUUUGGAAGCCCAUAUGCGCGUGGAGGGACACUAUUGUACGUAGAACCUGGCACUCAUAUACAACAUACUAAGAUGGAAUGAUUACCCUCAUGGCCUAUUUACAACAACAAAUUAAUAAGAGACGUACCUACAUCAACAACAUACUUGACCAUAAUAUUGACUCUGCUCCCGCUGAAGAUAGCAAUAGACCUGCUACUACAUAUAUCCCCAUUCCAUAUGUAGCCGGCCUCUUUGAGUCACUUAAUCGUUUAUUCGCCAAAUAUAAUGUAAAGUUUGUUGGAAAAAAUUCAAAAGAUCUACAACUAGUUUUUGAUACAGGCAAAGACAAGAUCCCCAUAGGCAAACGAUCUAAUGUCGUGUAUAAAAUACCAUGCAAUGACUGCAAUCAAGUCUACAUAGGUCAAACGGGUCGACAUCUCAACACUAGAAUUAGGGAACACCAACGCAACAUACAUGAGAUUGAAGAACGGCACACAGCUCUAACGAAACAUAUUAUCGAUAAACAACACACUUUUAAUUACGACAACACAAACAUCCUUUGCGAAGAACACAAUUAUUAUAGAAGACUGUUAUUAGAAAUGUGCAACAUUGUAGGUCAUACCAAUUCUGUUAAUCUUAGACAAGAUGUUGAACAUUUAAGCAAUAUUUACAAACCUCUAAUCUCCGCCCACACAACAAAUUUUGUUUAACCUUAACUACAUACAAAAAAUUAUUUUGUCCCCAUUUACAGUCCUUUCUACAUAACUU
RNAcentral lists this long non-coding RNA (996 nucleotides) under Neodiprion pinetum (white pine sawfly). RNAcentral's name for it is "uncharacterized LOC124216111". Lineage: Eukaryota; Metazoa; Arthropoda; Insecta; Hymenoptera; Diprionidae. The record is from RNAcentral.